GUGCUCAACGAGGUAGCACAUUUUCCAAAUCUGGAAUAAAACAGAGAUUAGUAUGAACCAGGCACAAGGAUGGUAUGCAAAUUUAUAAAGUGUUUCAAAUUAAA
This is a small nuclear RNA of Perognathus longimembris pacificus (Pacific pocket mouse), 104 nucleotides long. The record is from RefSeq and is a predicted model, not a curated record. Lineage: Eukaryota; Metazoa; Chordata; Mammalia; Rodentia; Heteromyidae.